ACCUGCGGCUGGAUCACCUCCUUAAUCGAAGACCUCAGCGUCUUCAUGAGUGCCCACACGAAUUGCUUGAUUCACUGGCUAGAAAGCGAUUGGGUUUUAGACCCGAGAGAGACGAUUGGGUCUGUAGCUCAGUUGGUUAGAGCGCACCCCUGAUAAGGGUGAGGUCGGCAGUUCGAAUCUGCCCAGACCCACCAAUUGUCAUGGGAUGUGGCCGAUCUGUAGAUGGGGCCAUAGCUCAGCUGGGAGAGCGCCUGCUUUGCACGCAGGAGGUCAGCGGUUCGAUCCCGCUUGGCUCCACCAUUCCUCGACGAAUCGCUUGAAAGUACAGAAAUGAAUGUUUGGUGACGAGCAUUGAUUUCUGGUCUUUGUGCCGGACUGUUCUUUAAAAAUUUGGGUAUGUGAUAGAAAUAGACUGAGUGAUCACUUUCACUGGUGAUUGUUCAGGCUAAGGUAAAAUUUGCGAGUUGCUCGAGAGAGCGAAAUGCGGAUUUUCGGCGAAUGUCGUCUUCACGUUAGAGACAGUAACCAGAUUGCUUGGGGUUAUAU
RNAcentral lists this transfer RNA (546 nucleotides) under Stutzerimonas stutzeri. Its description in RNAcentral is "Pseudomonas stutzeri sequence contains ITS1". The stretch from base 118 to 191 matches the Rfam family "tRNA". Lineage: Bacteria; Pseudomonadati; Pseudomonadota; Gammaproteobacteria; Pseudomonadales; Pseudomonadaceae. The record is from RNAcentral.